AACGAACGCUGGCGGCAUGCCUAAUACAUGCAAGUCGAACGAGAUCUUCGGAUCUAGUGGCGCACGGGUGCGUAACGCGUGGGAAUCUGCCCUUGGGUUCGGAAUAACUUCUGGAAACGGAAGCUAAUACCGGAUGAUGACGUAAGUCCAAAGAUUUAUCGCCCAAGGAUGAGCCCGCGUAGGAUUAGCUAGUUGGUGGGGUAAAGGCUCACCAAGGCGACGAUCCUUAGCUGGUCUGAGAGGAUGAUCAGCCACACUGGGACUGAGACACGGCCCAGACUCCUACGGGAGGCAGCAGUAGGAAUAUUGGACAAUGGGCGAAAGCCUGAUCCAGCAAUGCCGCGUGAGUGAUGAAGGCCUUAGGGUUGUAAAGCUCUUUUACCCGGGAUGAUAAUGACAGUACCGGGAGAAUAAGCUCCGGCUAACUCCGUGCCAGCAGCCGCGGUAA
Molecule: ribosomal RNA, 448 nt
Filed under: uncultured bacterium
Lineage: Bacteria
Description: bacterial SSU rRNA
Rfam family: Bacterial small subunit ribosomal RNA
Source: RNAcentral